RNAcentral lists this ribosomal RNA (467 nucleotides) under uncultured bacterium. Its description in RNAcentral is "partial 16S ribosomal RNA". It matches the Rfam family "Bacterial small subunit ribosomal RNA", at positions 28 to 506 of the family's 1533-position model. The record is from RNAcentral.
GACGAACGCUGGCGGCGUGCUUAACACAUGCAAGUCGAACGGAAAGGCCCUGCUUUUGUGGGGUGCUCGAGUGGCGCACGGGUGAGUAACACGUGAGUAUCCUGCCCUUGACUUUGGGAUAACUUCAGGAAACUGGGGCUAAUACAGGAUAGGAGCUCCUGCUGCAUGGUGGGGGAUGGAAAGUUUCGGCGGUUGGGGAUGGAAUCGCGGCUUAUCAGCUUGAUGGUGGGGUUGUGGAUUAACAAGGCUUUGACGGGUAGCCGGCCUGAGAGGGAGACCGGCCACAGUGGGAUAGGGAUACGGCCCAUACGGCUACGGGAGGCAGGAGUGGGGAAUAUUGCACGAAGGGCGGAGGCCGUAAGCAGCAACGCCGCGUGCGGGAUGACGGCCUUCGGGGUGGAAAACGCUUUCGCGUGUGACGAAGCGUGAGGAACGUAAAUGGGUAGAGAAGCACCGGCGAACUACGG